AUAACUUCCGGUGACUUUUUUUUUUCAACUUCAUCAUUCGCUCACUCUCAUUUAUGGGUCGCAGCGCAAGUCAUGUGAAUCGACUGCUUGGUCAAACACGAAUAUCAGUCGACCCUGUAUUUCCCGUUUCCUUUUCCGCAGGGGAAAAAAAAAGAAUAAAAAAAAAAAGGAAAAGAUUUAAAUGCAUAAAUAACGUCCGUGUUAAAUACCAAAAGAAUACGAAAACAGGUCAUUUUCACGGAUUGUUUUGCUAGUAAAGCUUUGAAUUCAAUGGAAUGGAAACCGACCAUUUUGAUAAUUCGCAUUUUAGUGGGACAAAUUAAAUCAUGAAAUUUUGCUGUGUGCUUUCGUACGGCGACGAUAACGGUUUGUGAAGAUGCAGUUUGAAUGAGUUACAUUGGAAUGGUGGUUUUGUCUUCUACUGGCUUGUAGCAGAUGAAUGCUUUUUAGUUCUCUGUUAACGACCAUAUAAAACAGUACCAGGUAAUUCUUGUCCAGCCGAGCACAUUAAGUCACUUCAAUUAUGUUUAUUAUAAAUUACGACAUUUCUAAAAUAAAGUGAUACAACUACUCUGUAAAUAUGAAAACUCUGCACAUACUCACACUGUUUUCUUGUACUCUGACGAGUAUAAAGAGGCCGUCAGCAAAACAUAAUAUAGCAGGUGACGGGACCAAUACUGAUGACAACAAGGCGACGCAACAUUUUCAACAGCAAGUGGACAAUAGAGUUCCCAAAUCGGGCUAUUACCACUUACUACAACAUAACAUUUUUCUUUUUUUUUUUUAUUUUGUCGUAAUAGGAAGUAUUGCAAUAAGCCACUUGGAGUAUUAUUUUGCCAUAUCGACAAGGAUACUCCGAAAAAAAAGAAUAAAUUGAGGUCAAAAUUCUAUCGACAGCAAAUGCGUCCCAUUUUUUAUAAAAAGGUCAAUGAUAACAUAGUCGCUGUUACUAGGAAACAUUUUUUUUUGAAUCUGCCCACCGCAAAAAUAAAAAAUAAAAAUAUAUAUUGUUGAACCAG
Molecule: long non-coding RNA, 1019 nt
Organism: Daphnia magna
Lineage: Eukaryota; Metazoa; Arthropoda; Branchiopoda; Diplostraca; Daphniidae
Exons: 2
Source: RefSeq, a predicted model, not a curated record